RNAcentral lists this ribosomal RNA (119 nucleotides) under Triticum aestivum (bread wheat). Lineage: Eukaryota; Viridiplantae; Streptophyta; Magnoliopsida; Poales; Poaceae. The record is from RNAcentral.
GGAUGCAAUCAUACCAGCACUAAAGCACCGGAUCCCAUCAGAACUCUGAAGUUAAGCGUGCUUGGGCGAGAGUAGUACUAGGAUGGGUGACCUCCUAGGAAGUCCUCGUGUUGCAUUCC